RNAcentral lists this transfer RNA (84 nucleotides) under bacterium. RNAcentral describes it as "tRNA-Leu". It matches the Rfam family "tRNA". Rfam says of the family: Transfer RNA (tRNA) molecules are approximately 80 nucleotides in length. Their secondary structure includes four short double-helical elements and three loops (D, anti-codon, and T loops). Further hydrogen bonds mediate the characteristic L-shaped molecular structure. tRNAs have two regions of fundamental functional importance: the anti-codon, which is responsible for specific mRNA codon recognition, and the 3' end, to which the tRNAs corresponding amino acid is attached (by aminoacyl-tRNA synthetases). tRNAs cope with the degeneracy of the genetic code in two manners: having more than one tRNA (with a specific anti-codon) for a particular amino acid; and 'wobble' base-pairing, i.e. permitting non-standard base-pairing at the 3rd anti-codon position. The record is from RNAcentral.
GCCGGGGUGGUGAAAUUGGCAGACACGUACGGUUUAGGACCUUAUGUCCGCAAGGACGUGCAGGUUCAAGUCCUGUCCCCGGCA